RNA transcript from Lolium perenne, 2442 nucleotides. RefSeq lists it as uncharacterized. Lineage: Eukaryota; Viridiplantae; Streptophyta; Magnoliopsida; Poales; Poaceae. The record is from RefSeq and is a predicted model, not a curated record.
UGUCCACAAAAAAAAAAAAGAGCAAACUCGACAUUCCCUAACCUCGCGUCGGCGGCUAGCCGGAGAUGGAGACGGAGGUGGAGAUGGAGAUCGAUCCCGUCCGUCCGAGCGAAUCCAGGGGAGGAAGACCGGCCGAGGAGCGGGAGGAGGCCAACCCCUUCGUCUCCCGGAAGAAGGUGAAAGUUCCGGAGAAGAUUGAGUCCGUUCUCGCGGAGGAGCUGAAGGACCUCGAGGAGGAGCUCUCGCACGCCGCCCGGACCGAGCGUGAGAACAGCAAGCUGACCGAGAUCGUCAAGGGAAUGGGGCCGCUCGAAGUAGAGGAGGCCUUGUCGAUCGGCCACCGGCGGAAGGUGGAGAAGCCGGACAAGGGGAAGGCCGUGCACGAACGGCAACCGGAGGCGGAGUUGGAGGAAGCGCUCUCCCUCGCUGUCCGGAGCGGGCUGGCGGCUGAGGAGGUGAGGAAGUUCCUCCGCUUCGCUGUCUUGUCCAAUCUAAUGGACUACGACGUCCACUCUCUGGCCGUCAAGAGCGGGCUCGAGGAUGAGGACGCCGUCUCCCUCGCCAAGAACUUCCUCACCAUGUACAGGAUCGUAUUCAGAGCUCUACACGCUCAGCUCCUCGGAUCCUUCGACAGGCGACGGUUUGAUCCCGAGCUGUGUCAAUGGAAGAGAUUCGGUCGCUUCUUCACCGAGAGGAAGAAAAAAGGCCCCGAGGGGAUCCCCUUCCUUCUCUUCAAGAUCAAGGCGUCCGCCAAGAACGCGAAGGUGACGUGGUGGCGGAAGGAGUACGCCCACUUCCCCCCGGAGCGGUCAGGGUACACUGGUGUUCUGCGCUUGGCUCGCCUCGUCGUCGGUAGAGAUGGGUCGCCUCGUCUGGAGGAGGCUGGUGAGGACGGGCAGCCGGGCGCCCUCUCACACGGUAAUGGCAGGUACACGUCGUCUGCUCGCAGAGUGGGCGUCCUCAAAGACGGCUGGCUCAGUCCGCUUGACGAGGUCGCCGUGGUCAGGAGGUUGCCCGGCGGCGAGGGGAUUUAUAUCAUGUCCUACGUGGAUGGACUUGGUGUUAAGCUUGGUGAAUUUCUCUUCGUCUUACACAUGGCAUGGACCGUCGCCUUGAGUUUCACUGAGCGGGCGUUCUACGUCUCCUCGGAGUUCACGGAGGAGACGCUGUAUGCUGUUCCUGGUGUCCAUUUCAUAGACAUUACCAUCCCCGUGGAACAUCUGAUCAAGAAGCUUUACCAGAUGUAUGAGCAGGAGGAGCAAGAUAAGAAGACGAUGCUUGAGAAACAAGACCCUAUGGAGAUGGUGUGCCAACAGGAGGAGUUGGGGUCGAGAUUGGAGAACGAAGAGAGGAAGAAGGAGGAUCUGCGCAGGAGAAAGGAACAUAAACUCCAGCCCAAAAAUAAAAGGGAGGCGUUUCGCCUUGUAAAGAAGGCAACAAGAAUACAAAACGAACAAAGGCAGAAUGAAGGAUAUGAUGAAGAUUGCGUUAGGUGGCUGGAAGAAUCUGAUUGGGUGCUGCCAUUCGAUGAAGUGGCUAAGCCAGGAGAGGCCCAACAAACUUCUUGAGGAGACUAUGAAGCCCGUAGAAGAAAAUGAUCUGCUGAAACUUGGUGAAGGUGGGAUCAGGGGAAUUUUUUAUCGAACAGAAUAAUCAUUGCCGGCAUGACAAAUAUCUAGCAAGAUGGGCAAUACACCACCAGUUCCCUCUAUACCAUCAUCAGCCAUAGGGGGAUUACGCCAAUUUCCAUACCUUCAGUCUAGACUCUGGUGGUUCCUCCCAGGGAUCCAUAUUAACUGUGAAUUCUGCAAUGAACUCUAAUCUAUUUCUCAUCUGUAAUGAAUUCCAUCUGUGCUGCUGUUCUUUGGAGCAUCUGAAAAACCAGAAAUGCUAUGAUUUUUGACAACCAGACUUGUCUAUGUGUGAAACAAGUUUGAUGGCUGAUCCUGAAAACAGUGAGAAAAUGGCGACUGAUCUUCAGGGUGGACAUGGUGGUGAAGAUGGAUCUAUUUGCGCAGCAUGUCUCGGCAAUUCUGCGUGCACCUGUAGCUCUCCCAUGGGUAUGAAGCUGGUCCUAGUUACUCUGGACACCGAUCUCCAGUGGAGCGGCGAUCAGCACGUUCCAUGCCAACCUGCUGGUAACCUGAGGAUGACGACCUCUCCCAUCACACCUGGCGGGUGCAGCGCCUGGGCGCAGCUUCCGCAUCAGAAAGGAGUGUUGCUACCAGCUGAAGUCACAAGAGCCAAGCUCCAUCAAAUCGGUGAGAUCUACAGGCUCAUCCGCUGAUUGUUUUGGGUCCUGAGCUGAUGAGUUUGUAAUGUUAUUUUUCCGAGAGUUCAUCGUUUGCCAGAUUAGGUUUUCCUGUACUUUUAGUUUAUGUUCUCCUGUGUUUUGUCUCGAAUAUGUUUAGAACUCUCCUGGUUCAUUAAUAAAAAUGGGAC